Molecule: ribosomal RNA, 318 nt
Filed under: Vibrio sp.
Lineage: Bacteria; Pseudomonadati; Pseudomonadota; Gammaproteobacteria; Vibrionales; Vibrionaceae
Description: bacterial SSU rRNA
Rfam family: Bacterial small subunit ribosomal RNA
Source: RNAcentral
CUCUGAGACAGGUGCUGCAUGGCUGUCGUCAGCUCGUGUUGUGAAAUGUUGGGUUAAGUCCCGCAACGAGCGCAACCCUUAUCCUUGUUUGCCAGCGAGUAAUGUCGGGAACUCCAGGGAGACUGCCGGUGAUAAACCGGAGGAAGGUGGGGACGACGUCAAGUCAUCAUGGCCCUUACGAGUAGGGCUACACACGUGCUACAAUGGCGCAUACAGAGGGCAGCAAGCUAGCGAUAGUGAGCGAAUCCCAAAAAGUGCGUCGUAGUCCGGAUUGGAGUCUGCAACUCGACUCCAUGAAGUCGGAAUCGCUAGUAAUCG